CACAUGUGUUUCCGCAUCAGAUUUGCCGGUCAGUCUGUUUACGCUUCGUGAAUCCUUUUAGAACCGCUGUUCUCGUAGAAGUUCCGGUGUAUUUCGAGUGAUUCCCGCGUGUAAUAGUGCUUUUCUGGUGAUAAAAUUGUAUGGUGUGAGCUAUUCGAUUCAGUUUCAGUGAAAGAACCAAGUGCGGAUCAGUGUGCAUUGAAGGUUUUAUUACCACGGCUCAAGUUCAAGGUCUAUCGCAGUGCUAAUUUCAGUGAAUACAUUAGAAUCCUAUCUCAGUUAUCAACGAUGGAAAGUGAAUCAUCCAACUUGGUGGCCGGUUCAAGUGCCGAGGACUCGGUUCCGAAGCAGGAGCCCGUUGGCGAUACGGGUGAGAAAACCGCGUCCGUGGUUACGUUUCGUAACGUAAACACACAGCACGGCGACCAUCGCACCGUCGACGAAGCCAACAUCGUCGUCUUUCGAAUUUGUCAUUCUCCGACGCCUAGUGCGCUGUGUGACGACGAUGGCAAGGAGCAGCAGGUCAUUUGGUUCGAGGAGUUUGUCCCACCGGAAAACAAGGUAAGCACCACCAACCCACCAUUUGCAGCGCAUACUGAACUGAACUGUAUUGCUCCCGGUGGCGCACGGCGAGCUUACGUAUGUGCAUAUUGAAGCAGCAAAUAGUCGACCUAGGGCGACGAUCAACACAGGUUACAGCUCGUAAAUGUACCUCUAUGUUGUGUAUCGCAGAUAUAGACGACGCCCGGCAGCAGCAAAGAGAACUGGCUUAUGUUAAACGAAAAGCUUUAAUCUUCUAAGAGUGUUUCAAGACCUUCAAGAAACUCUUUGACAUAGUUACAACUGUUACAAGUCGACAAAAACAGUACGAAGCGGUAUCGCGGAACACACCCAUGUGUAUUAGUUAAAAAAUGACGGUCUCUAUGUUAGCAAUAUUGCACAUUUUGACUCCAUGUGUUUUCUAUUCAUGCUGGGAUAUUACAAAUGAGCAGUUACAUUGAUCAUUCUUGGAACAGUUUUUGAAAUACAUGCUGAAUACAAUUCAGAUGCUUUUAAGUUUUGAUUUAAAAACUUGAAAUUUAUUUGACAUUGAUG
Armigeres subalbatus is the source of this 1095-nucleotide RNA transcript. RefSeq lists it as uncharacterized. Lineage: Eukaryota; Metazoa; Arthropoda; Insecta; Diptera; Culicidae. The record is from RefSeq and is a predicted model, not a curated record. The transcript has 3 exons.